CACACCGAAAGUGUGUUCGAUGAAAUGCCUCCAACAUUCGGAGGUUUCUAUUUGUGAAAGUUUGCAGGCUAAGGUGUGUUCCUACUUCCUCCUGUAUACACAGUUUAUUCCUGCAUUUUUUGGGCUAUUCAACAUAUGCAAUUGUUCUGUAAAUAGAGGCACAUUGAGUAGUUCUAUUCAACAUAUGCAAUUUUUUCAGACAAAUGAUAGCUAUUCAAGGAGCAAGAGGCUGCUCAACAUAAAGCAUCAACAGCAACCUCUGGAACAGCUGAAAAUGCUCUACUGGAAGCUAAGUCAGUGACUGAUCUUAAAUCUAAAGAUUUGGAGAAGAA
This 332-nucleotide unclassified non-coding RNA is filed under the name Zea mays. RNAcentral's name for it is "misc RNA Zm00001eb338760". Lineage: Eukaryota; Viridiplantae; Streptophyta; Magnoliopsida; Poales; Poaceae. The record is from RNAcentral.